Astatotilapia calliptera (eastern happy) is the source of this 308-nucleotide long non-coding RNA. The record is from Ensembl. NCBI's taxonomy places the organism in Eukaryota, Metazoa, Chordata, Actinopteri, Cichliformes, Cichlidae.
AUGCAACCAAAACCUUCAGAUCUAAGUGGACAUUUUAGUCGCCUGCUCUUCCAAAGGAAAUCCAGAUUCAGUGUUUGCUGUCCAAGUUAAUCAUUGAGUGAGCCAGUGUGUUCAUCAACACUCACAGUUUCACAUUACAGGGGAAUCCCGAGCAAAUAGUUUACUGAAUCCCAGGACGUGGCUGAGCUCAGAAGGAGGAUGUCCUGUGGGUGGCGGGGGGGAGAUAAACGCUACAGCUGACGUGUUCCUCUUAAGUCUCUGUGCCAUCGCCCAAAGGUGAUUCCUCCCGUGACAGGUAUUCACAUCCG